AGUAGGAUAACUGGGUCAAAUGGUGGUUUCAUUCCAAGUUGUCUGAGGAAUUUCCAGAUUGCUUUCCAUAGUGGUUGCACCAACUUGCCAUCCUACCAGCAAU
Molecule: microRNA precursor, 103 nt
Filed under: Marmota monax (woodchuck)
Lineage: Eukaryota; Metazoa; Chordata; Mammalia; Rodentia; Sciuridae
Source: RNAcentral